RNAcentral lists this small RNA (27 nucleotides) under Bombyx mori (domestic silkworm). RNAcentral describes it as "ovarian small RNA-33178". The record is from RNAcentral. Lineage: Eukaryota; Metazoa; Arthropoda; Insecta; Lepidoptera; Bombycidae.
UGAUUUAUGCAACUCAUCGCCUUCCAC